RNAcentral lists this ribosomal RNA (423 nucleotides) under uncultured Gammaproteobacteria bacterium. RNAcentral describes it as "bacterial SSU rRNA". It matches the Rfam family "Bacterial small subunit ribosomal RNA", at positions 608 to 1029 of the family's 1533-position model. The record is from RNAcentral. Lineage: Bacteria; Pseudomonadati; Pseudomonadota; Gammaproteobacteria.
CUCAACCCCGGAACUGCAUUCGAUACUGGUUGGCUAGAGUUCGGGAGGGGGAUGCGGAAUUCCGAGUGUAGCAGUGAAAUGCGUAGGGAUUCGGAGGAACACCGGAGGCGAAGGCGGCAUCCUGGACCGACACUGACGCUGAGGCCCGAAAGCGUGGGUAGCAAACAGGAUUAGAUACCCUGGUAGUCCACGCCCUAAACGAUGUCUACUAGCCGUUGCGGGUAUCGACCCCUGCAGUGGCGAAGCCAACGCGAUAAGUAGACCGCCUGGGGAGUACGGCCGCAAGGUUAAAACUCAAAGGAAUUGACGGGGGCCCGCACAAGCGGUGGAGCAUGUGGUUUAAUUCGACGCAACGCGAAGAACCUUACCUGGGCUUGACAUCCUCGGAAUCCCCUAGAGAUAGGGGAGUGCCUUCGGGAGCCG